Molecule: signal recognition particle RNA, 96 nt
Filed under: Alphaproteobacteria bacterium
Lineage: Bacteria; Pseudomonadati; Pseudomonadota; Alphaproteobacteria
Description: signal recognition particle sRNA small type
Rfam family: Bacterial small signal recognition particle RNA
About the family: The signal recognition particle (SRP) is a universally conserved ribonucleoprotein involved in the co-translational targeting of proteins to membranes. Archaeal SRP consists of a 7S RNA and homologues of the eukaryotic SRP19 and SRP54 proteins.
Source: RNAcentral
AAUGGAGAGCAUCGGGUUGUUCUUUCGCGAAUCCGGUCAGGUUCGGAAGAAAGCAGCCGUAACGAUAUGGAAUAAGGUCGAUGUUUCUCCGCCUUA